Camellia sinensis is the source of this 7068-nucleotide non-coding RNA. The record is from RefSeq and is a predicted model, not a curated record. Lineage: Eukaryota; Viridiplantae; Streptophyta; Magnoliopsida; Ericales; Theaceae.
UUCUCUCAAUUUUUUAGUCUAAAAAGACAAAAAGUACACUUAUUUAGAACACCCCAAACAACUCCUAAAAUAACGUGUAUUUUAUUUUAAAAUCACAUAUCCUAAAAUGACGUCAUUUUGUUCCACUUUAAAAGAUAAUGCUAUAAAUCUUAAAUAAUCUAUCAAAUAUUUUACCAAAUAAGACCCAUACAACCACACGUAUAUAUAUGAAUCUCACACACAUAUAAAGAAUUUGAUAAAAUAUUUAAUAAAUUAUUUAAGAUCCCGACAUUACUCCACUUUAAAUCUAAAUCAUUGAAUUACCGACCACAACAAAAUUAUUGUGUGAUAUUGAACCCAUUUACGUGAGAAUUCGUUCUAGAAGAAUUUCAAAUAAUUUCAAAAUGUCUAAAAAUGUACAAACUUGGUAGGAAAACUUUUUUUCGGAAAAUUAUUUUUGAAAAUUGCUUCUAAAAACACUUUUAAAUUGCUUUCCAAAUUUUUAAAAAAUGAUUUUUGUAAAACAUAACAAACACAGUUUUUUAAACCCUUGAGGCUUUUUUUUUUUUUUUUUUUUUUUUCUCUCUCCUCUUCUCAACGUUCCUAACCUAACCAUCCUAUUUAUAGUAACUGUCCAACCUAAAAGACCCACUUUUUUUUUCUUUGGUAUUAGUUUUCUUUAUCCAAACAAUUUUAUUUUAUUUUUUAAUAAGAAAAUAAACUUAUAUUUUAUUUAAUUUUUAAUUAUCGUGUCACGUGCAUUGUUGAGAGAAGCGUCAUGUUGUAUCAGUUUGGGCUGGAUUGAAAAACCAUAAAUAGGCCCACAACCCAGUCCAGUAAGACUUUUUUUGUAUGAAACUCACGGAAUAAAAUAAUGGUUUCAAAAUAUGAAACCCUCAUUCGACCACUGUCGUGAGCAUUCAAAACCCUACUUCCACCACUGCAAUGGCAUCCGAAACCCUCAUUCCACCAUUGCUGUGAGCAUUCAAAACCUUCCUUCCACUACCACCGUGAGCGACGGUGCCAACAACAUUGCGGAUCUUUCAUCAAUGCCUCUUGAUUUCUUAUUGGAAACUUUUUAGUAUUCGAAAAUGGUUGUUACUAAAAACAAGCGUAAGGAUGGUGAGGAUGACGAUGAUUUUGAAGUUCCACUAACAGUUAUAGAAAAGAAGAAACUCCCUGAAAAGAGUAGCAAAAAAUCCAUGAGCAAUGUGGAUGAUGCAUGUGAUGAUGAUUUUGUGCUUGCAUCAAUGAGACUGAAAAAGUGCUACCCUAGUGAAGAUGAAGGCUCUCAUGAAAGCAAUCCAAUGCCUUCAACAAGAAAACCUUCAAAGUUGAAUAUUGUACAUGGCGUACGAGAGAGAGAGAAUUAUGUGAAACAAUAUAGGUCAAAUAUUGUUUCAUUAAUAAACCUAAUGCAAGACAUAAAGUUCACUGAAAGGUACAUUACUGCCCUCGAGAGAACAACUUUUGGGAUGUUAUUCAAAUCUUUUUGGAAUAAAGAACACCUUUUGGGAUGUUAUUCAAACCUUUUUGGAAGAAAGAAGAUGUGGUGUUGAAAAAGUUUAAGAUAGUUGACGAUAAUGUCAUGGAUGUGAUCAAGUGUUAUGAUUUUCAUGCAAAAGGAUUCACGCUUGGGGGGAAAACGUGUGACAUACAGGGACUGUGAUGUUACUUUGAUUUUUGGGAUAAAGUCGGGAACAAAAAAAAGUAGAUGUCUCAUAUGGGAAGAAACAAGAAACACCUUUUGUUCAGAGAAGGUUUCAUAAUAUGUCAAGAGUAUCCGUAAAGAUUUUGCGAGAGGCAUUAGGAGAUACAUUGGAAGGCACAACAACAGUUGAUGUUAAGGAUGUUGCAUGAAUAAUAUGUUUAUUCAUUGCGGCAACUUUGUUAUUCCCAAUAACCGGUCUAACAAUUAGAUAGGCUUUUGUCGCCCUUGUAGAAGAUUUGGAAAUAAUGAAUUCAUAUGCAUGGUCAAGUGCAGUUGCAUCCACAUUGACUACUUCAAUCCAGUCUUCAUCAAGAAGUCCUGAAAAUAUGACUGGAUGACUACUUCUUCUUUUGCACACUACCCUCAUUCAACCUGAAGACAAAAAUUUGUGUCCAAGGCUCCUUCAAUAGGACUUAUCAAAGUUGAGGAAAAAGCUAAUGAAGAGGUCAUUGCAAAAUCUAAAGCCUGAAGAGGAAAUAGAGUAUAUGUUACAUUGCACGAUGUGGAUGCAAUUCUAAGACAUGGUGAUACUGCAAAUAAUGUCAUUGAGAGUUUUGUAGAAAUGCUUCAAAUUGAGCAACAAGCAAAGAAGCUAGAAAAGAAUAAGUCAUUCUUUUUCUCAAACCUUUGUUGGUCACUAGUGAAAUGGGGUUAUGGUGAUUUGAGAAAUCAUUUAAUUGAUGAAGUGCUUGAGCAAGAUUUGAGUGGAUACAGAUUCUUUCACUUUUGCAUGAAAAACCCUAUCACUAGACACUGCUUGUAUUGGACACUGAAUUUGAUGAGUGGAGGCAUUACAAUUCUUUAAGGCCAAGAGACAACAAAGAUGAUUCUUACCUUAAGGAUGCAAAAUAGAUUGUAAGUGUUUUGCAUCAUAUUAACAGUAAAUUUUUACUGUGUUUUAUUCUUGUAUUUAAUUGUGACCAAACAAUUAUGCAAUGAUGUUAGAUAACAUAUGUAGAGAAAAAGUUGGGCAACAAAAGGAAGAGAGGUACAAGAAAGUUUGCAAACUUGGUUUCGGUAAAAGAUAGUCCACAACAAUGCCCAACAUCCAGUACAUGAAAAGUGGGAUAUUGCAACGGUUCUUUUAUGGCAUUUAUGGAAACGCCACUAUAAAUUAAUGAAACACAAUGUUUUGAAAAAUGUUGUCUCUGAUCUCAGUGAAACGGCGCCGUAUUGGGUCAAUGUAUUGACCGUCCAAACCUUUGUCUUUUUCAACUCAGUCUCUCUCUUUCUUAGUCUUUACCACAACUCAAUCAUCCUCUCUUCCAAAACCCUCGAUUUGAAGCUCUCAUUCUCAACCCUCAAUUUGAAGUUCUCACUCUCUCUUACUCAAUUUCAAACACACAUUCUCGCUCCCUUGCUCAAUUUCAAACACACACACUCUCAUUCUCAACCCUCGAUUUGCUUGAUUGCAGAUUCCAAAACCCUCGAUGGUUUGGGCUUCAUCAAUCUCUGUCGCUCACAAUUGAAGUCUCUAGCUAUUCUUCAUCGAUCUCUGUUACUCGAGGGCUUUGCUCUAGCUGUUCUUCAUCGAACUCAAACUCGAAGUCGAUCUGUUCUUCAUCAAAUCACAGAUCCAAAAUCCAAAAUCGAUCUGUUCUUUAUCAAAUGACAGAUCUAAAAUCCAAAAUCGAUAUGUUCUAGCUUAGCUCUCUUGCUCUUAUAUCAGGUACAUUUUUCAUUCUCUACUUUCUCAUUAUCAAAUCGUUGAUUAACUCUGUAAUUUUUCAUUCUUUAGUUAAAAAAAAAAAACUAGUUUAUAUAAUUUGUGAUGAUCUUACUAUUCUAGUUCUUUAGAUUAUUUAUGAUUUUAGCGUUGCAAUAUGUUUGUGUUUCAUUGUUUACUCGGCGACUUCUCUUCUGAAUAUUCUGCCAAGAUGAUUCUCCAAGGAUUCCACUAUGGAUACAAUGUUGUAUACAAUUUCAUUCUUCUAACCAGGCUGGUACUGAACUUUUUCAUUGCUUUUUUUUUUUUUUUUUGGUCAUGUUGUUUGAUGUUUUGUAAGGUACACAAAUUAAAGUUUUGUACUUGUUUAUGGUCUCUAAUUGACUUUUGUAUAUCACUUGUUUGACAAACUAUGUUGUUUUGUUAGUCUGGAAAUACACUAGAAACUAUGGUGUGGUUAAAUUGUUGGCAAUUUGUUGUCUGUUUUUAGAUUUUAAUAUUUCCAAGAUCAUUGUUGUAAUGUGUAUGAUGAACACAAAGAAUAAAUAGUCAUCAACGGCUAGAUAAGGAAGAAGUUUAAUGAUCUAGCUAAAUUAUAGGGUUGUUCAUGGAGAUAACCCCUUUGCGAUGUCCACGAAAGCCUCUGCUUGAAUGAAUUUGUCUCAUUUUAUAAUUAUUAUUAUUAUUAUUGUUAUUUUUGGGUUUAUUCAUGCAAAAAAUGCCUAAUCCGAGUUCAUUGGUUUAAGCUCGGGUACGUCUUAGGCAUGCCAAUUUAGGAUAAAGUUUAGGCUUAGGUCAGGCCCAAGUUUGGUUGGUUGCCACGUAAUUAUUCAUUUACACUUGUAAUGGUUAGCCUUCUAUCAUUAUAAACCAGUUCCAUUACAAUAUUGUGGGUAAGAAUUCUAGUUUGUUUGUAGCUAUCCAGUAUAUGAAGUUGUUUGGUUUGAAAAACAUAUAUAUAUAUAUAUAUAUGUUGCAUCUUAUUGUUUUUAAUUUUUUCUAGGGUGAUUAAUUUUGCUUUCUCAGAACCGCAUAAAAGGGUUUCAUUGUGUAUCUACUGGGUGGCUGUUAUAUGUGUGUCUGUCCAACGGUUUUACAACAUUUCAAAGAAUAGUAAGAUUGAGAGGAUUCUUCUUCGAAAAUACUACCAUCUGAUGGUUGUUUUAAUGUUUCUGCCUGCUCUUAUCUUCCAGGUGAUUUGGGAUUCACACAAUGAUCUUCUCUGUAUCCUUUCUUUUUAAUUGUUAGUUCUCAUAGUAGUUUUUGAAGUUAUGUGGACUUCAUUUUUGUUUCCAGCCGAAGUUUCUUGAUCUGGCAUUUGGUGCAGCUUUGGCAGUAUUCCUAGUCUUGGAAAUUGUUCGAUUAAGUUCAUUGAAUUUGCACGUACUAUUGUUCUUGACUUUUUCUUUGCUAUAUACUAGAAAAAUGACGGUGCUAAAAGUCAUUGCCUUUGCUCAUGUUUAAUAUUCUUGGGUUCAAAUGUCAACACUGCAGUCUGCAGAACUUAUUUCAUAUGAAAUUAAAGUAUUUAUGCAUUGUAAGAAAAUAAAAUAAAUAGAAGGGGAAAGUGUGGGCAAAUUUUGUGGAACAUUGGAAAUUUUUAAACUUCAAGAGCACUUUGUAAUUUUACAUGUUUACUUUUCAUAUGGUAUAUCAAAUGCUUGUUUGAAACUAUUGAAAAUGAUAUCCAGGAGAUAAUUAACAAGCUAACCAUGCUUACAUGGAUAUUGGGGGAUAUAUUGCAAAUCUUGCAGAAAAUAAAUGAAAAUGCUUUCAGAUAUUGUGACUUGUAAAUUGUCUAUCAUGACACAAGAUUCAUUGUUUUUGUUUAUUUUUGAUUCAUUGCUUUUAUAGAAAUCCAAAUUAUGGGGGAUAUCAUUUCAUCAUCCAUCCAGAAGUUAAUCUAAAAAGUUUAUCCCAACUUGUUUUGACAGAUUUAUGAAAGCAAUUUUGUAUUUAUCUCCCCAAAGUGACUCAUUGCAACACUCUAGUUGUUCUUAUUGAAAGCUGGGUCUUAGUUCGUUUAGAUGCUUAAACACAUUAUAAUGGUUUUGGUAAAGCUUGCAUAACCAUAACUUUGGUAGACAGGUAUGGAGAAUUCAACCUUUAGGGCUAUUUGUACAUCAGUUUAUGAAUGCGUUUACAGACCACCAUGACUCAGAUCUUCUUAUUUGAUGUGUUUUUCAUUUUUCAGCCAUUUUUCACUCUUAUUGGGCUGUGCACUUCCCAUCUGGAUGUCUUCUAGGUUCAAUGAUCGACCUCUUGCUGCUUUUACUGGAAUUUUGAGCCUUGGAAUUGGAGAUACAAUGGCGUGUUUUCUAGUUUCUAUGUACUAUUAUGUACUAUUGAAAUGUAGUAACUUGUGUGGAGUCGUAUCUUUUUCAUUCUUGACAUUCCUACAUAGUCUUACAAUAAUUGGCUCUCUUACUGUGAGAUCAAACAAGAAAUAGCAGCUCUAUUGUUUUGCAUAGUCCAAAGUUUCUUGACAUACAGAAAAAUUACUUGAUGCAGGGGAUACUAGCAUUGAGAACUUGACUUACAUGUGAAUAUUUUCAUCUAGUUUUGACAUUGAAAUGUGUUCUUGCAUGACAGACUUCAUUGAAUAAUGUUUGAACUGUUUAUUCAGAAACCUUUACUCUAGACUGAUGAUAACCUGUUAUAGAGAAUUCAUAGAAAACACUCUUUUUGUUUUUAUCUUGUUGAAAAUGAAAAUUAUGAACAAUAUUAUGUUUAUUGGAAGGAUUAAGGGCAAAUGCUGCUUUUCUUUAUCAGUAGACUGAACUCUGUGACCAAAUUUUGGCCUAGGGAUUUUACAGGAUACACGGUGUUUGGGCCUCUUAUAGCGACCAACUAAUUUUCAGUUCCUCAGGACCUCCACUGCCUAACACGUAGUUCUUGGCUUUUCUCAUAUAUCUCUUGGAGUUAUGGACGUAGUGGGUUAUUUCAUUUGCCUUCACAUUGUACUUGUAUUUACUUCUUAUGGUGAUUGAGCUUGUGGUAAUUAUUUCAUUUUCCUUGACAUUGCACUUGUAUUCAACACUGUUGCAGUUUAAUACAAAUGCUGGCGAGUUGAUGAAGAAAUUUGUUUUGGCAUCAAUUGGAAAAAAUGGAGAGAGUAGAAGGCUAGAGUUAAAAAAUUGGGUAUGUGCCAUUCGACAAUGAUGCUGAUAGGUUAACUCAUCGACCCGAAAGAGUACAUGAGCAUCAAUGGUGGAGCUUAGUAUAUUAUUGGGGCACUCGGAAGGCACAGAAAAAAUGUACGAAAACAAAAAAAUUCGGAAGAAAAAGACAUUAAAUCACAUAACCGGCUGAAAACCAUUCUCAGUUGUUCGAGUAGAGGAAACAAAAAAGAAGAAUGGAAUUCCUGCAACUCACUUAGAGGUGUGGAUGGAUGGGUACUCAAAGGAUAAAACACCAAAUACUGAUAAAGUUGCUAAGGUCAUGGCCAAAGAAGAGGAGGAGCUCCCUGAGUACAUUUUUGGAACUGUUCGACUAAUUCGUGUGAAGCUCGAUUCUGCUGUACCUUUUGAAGUUUGAAAUAUUUUGAUACAUCAACAUGCUUUGAUCAUCAUAUUUACACAAGUAAUUGGCAUUAUUGUAACCAAGUACAUUCCAAUGAUUUCCAGAUUCUGGUGUGAAUUAUUGUUCUUAUAAUUUGGACCAGACAUUGAAAAUUCAAUCAUAGAUCACCCAACAUUGGUUCCAAUGAGUA